Molecule: long non-coding RNA, 586 nt
Organism: Medicago truncatula (barrel medic)
Lineage: Eukaryota; Viridiplantae; Streptophyta; Magnoliopsida; Fabales; Fabaceae
Exons: 3
Source: RefSeq, a predicted model, not a curated record
UGUUCUUUUCUCUCUCUCGAACCUUCCAGCCAUUUCAUUAGCUUCCAAUUCUACUUCACCUUUCAUCACACGUUUUCUUUGUUUUUCCAAUUCCAAUCAACAAAUUCUUUUAUUGAAUCAUGCAAGCAUGAGUAAAAUGGUACAACUUGGCAAACCAACCUCAUAAAAUGCUAUUGGGUAGUUUUUGAGAUAGGAUUUGUGUUUUAUGGAAGGAGAUGAGUACCCACCCAUUGGUAGUUGCUUAUUGAGAUUCUUAGAGAUAUGAUAUUGGACGCUUCACAUGCUUCUCUUGGAGUGGUUGGAGAUCAAACUUAGUUGAUUCGUCAUAACUAUUUUCAAGCAGCUACGUAGGAAGCUGCUAGUAGACUCAAAGUUCAGCCGUGUCACUCUUUUUGGUAGGCUUCUUUGAUGGAUGUCUCUUUUGUUUAUGUAUAUGUUGAAUCAGAGUAUCUGCAGCUAUUUGGAGUCUAGGAAUGUUUUAUUUGAGAUAUACAAAUAUGUAAAUAUUGUUUAAAUUCUGCCAAGUGUCGUCAAUAGGCUUGCCGGACUAGGAUGUUCUAGUUCGUGCGCCGGUUACGAUUGUGAA